This 2807-nucleotide ribosomal RNA is filed under the name Escherichia coli. RNAcentral's name for it is "partial 23S ribosomal RNA". It matches the Rfam family "Bacterial large subunit ribosomal RNA". Lineage: Bacteria; Pseudomonadati; Pseudomonadota; Gammaproteobacteria; Enterobacterales; Enterobacteriaceae. The record is from RNAcentral.
GGGUUGUGAGGUUAAGCGACUAAGCGUACACGGUGGAUGCCCUGGCAGUCAGAGGCGAUGAAGGACGUGCUAAUCUGCGAUAAGCGUCGGUAAGGUGAUAUGAACCGUUAUAACCGGCGAUUUCCGAAUGGGGAAACCCAGUGUGUUUCGACACACUAUCAUUAACUGAAUCCAUAGGUUAAUGAGGCGAACCGGGGGAACUGAAACAUCUAAGUACCCCGAGGAAAAGAAAUCAACCGAGAUUCCCCCAGUAGCGGCGAGCGAACGGGGAGCAGCCCAGAGCCUGAAUCAGUGUGUGUGUUAGUGGAAGCGUCUGGAAAGGCGCGCGAUACAGGGUGACAGCCCCGUACACAAAAAUGCACAUACUGUGAGCUCGAUGAGUAGGGCGGGACACGUGGUAUCCUGUCUGAAUAUGGGGGGACCAUCCUCCAAGGCUAAAUACUCCUGACUGACCGAUAGUGAACCAGUACCGUGAGGGAAAGGCGAAAAGAACCCCGGCGAGGGGAGUGAAAAAGAACCUGAAACCGUGUACGUACAAGCAGUGGGAGCACGCUUCGGCGUGUGACUGCGUACCUUUUGUAUAAUGGGUCAGCGACUUAUAUUCUGUAGCAAGGUUAACCGAAUAGGGGAGCCGAAGGGAAACCGAGUCUUAACUGGGCGUUAAGUUGCAGGGUAUAGACCCGAAACCCGGUGAUCUAGCCAUGGGCAGGUUGAAGGUUGGGUAACACUAACUGGAGGACCGAACCGACUAAUGUUGAAAAAUUAGCGGAUGACUUGUGGCUGGGGGUGAAAGGCCAAUCAAACCGGGAGAUAGCUGGUUCUCCCCGAAAGCUAUUUAGGUAGCGCCUCGUGAAUUCAUCUCCGGGGGUAGAGCACUGUUUCGGCAAGGGGGUCAUCCCGACUUACCAACCCGAUGCAAACUGCGAAUACCGGAGAAUGUUAUCACGGGAGACACACGGCGGGUGCUAACGUCCGUCGUGAAGAGGGAAACAACCCAGACCGCCAGCUAAGGUCCCAAAGUCAUGGUUAAGUGGGAAACGAUGUGGGAAGGCCCAGACAGCCAGGAUGUUGGCUUAGAAGCAGCCAUCAUUUAAAGAAAGCGUAAUAGCUCACUGGUCGAGUCGGCCUGCGCGGAAGAUGUAACGGGGCUAAACCAUGCACCGAAGCUGCGGCAGCGACACUAUGUGUUGUUGGGUAGGGGAGCGUUCUGUAAGCCUGUGAAGGUGUGCUGUGAGGCAUGCUGGAGGUAUCAGAAGUGCGAAUGCUGACAUAAGUAACGAUAAAGCGGGUGAAAAGCCCGCUCGCCGGAAGACCAAGGGUUCCUGUCCAACGUUAAUCGGGGCAGGGUGAGUCGACCCCUAAGGCGAGGCCGAAAGGCGUAGUCGAUGGGAAACAGGUUAAUAUUCCUGUACUUGGUGUUACUGCGAAGGGGGGACGGAGAAGGCUAUGUUGGCCGGGCGACGGUUGUCCCGGUUUAAGCGUGUAGGCUGGUUUUCCAGGCAAAUCCGGAAAAUCAAGGCUGAGGCGUGAUGACGAGGCACUACGGUGCUGAAGCAACAAAUGCCCUGCUUCCAGGAAAAGCCUCUAAGCAUCAGGUAACAUUAAAUCGUACCCCAAACCGACACAGGUGGUCAGGUAGAGAAUACCAAGGCGCUUGAGAGAACUCGGGUGAAGGAACUAGGCAAAAUGGUGCCGUAACUUCGGGAGAAGGCACGCUGAUAUGUAGGUGAAGUCCCUCGCGGAUGGAGCUGAAAUCAGUCGAAGAUACCAGCUGGCUGCAACUGUUUAUUAAAAACACAGCACUGUGCAAACACGAAAGUGGACGUAUACGGUGUGACGCCUGCCCGGUGCCGGAAGGUUAAUUGAUGGGGUUAGCGGUAACGCGAAGCUCUUGAUCGAAGCCCCGGUAAACGGCGGCCGUAACUAUAACGGUCCUAAGGUAGCGAAAUUCCUUGUCGGGUAAGUUCCGACCUGCACGAAUGGCGUAAUGAUGGCCAGGCUGUCUCCACCCGAGACUCAGUGAAAUUGAACUCGCUGUGAAGAUGCAGUGUACCCGCGGCAAGACGGAAAGACCCCGUGAACCUUUACUAUAGCUUGACACUGAACAUUGAGCCUUGAUGUGUAGGAUAGGUGGGAGGCUUUGAAGUGUGGACGCCAGUCUGCAUGGAGCCGACCUUGAAAUACCACCCUUUAAUGUUUGAUGUUCUAACGUUGACCCGUGAUCCGGGUUGCGGACAGUGUCUGGUGGGUAGUUUGACUGGGGCGGUCUCCUCCUAAAGAGUAACGGAGGAGCACGAAGGUUGGCUAAUCCUGGUCGGACAUCAGGAGGUUAGUGCAAUGGCAUAAGCCAGCUUGACUGCGAGCGUGACGGCGCGAGCAGGUGCGAAAGCAGGUCAUAGUGAUCCGGUGGUUCUGAAUGGAAGGGCCAUCGCUCAACGGAUAAAAGGUACUCCGGGGAUAACAGGCUGAUACCGCCCAAGAGUUCAUAUCGACGGCGGUGUUUGGCACCUCGAUGUCGGCUCAUCACAUCCUGGGGCUGAAGUAGGUCCCAAGGGUAUGGCUGUUCGCCAUUUAAAGUGGUACGCGAGCUGGGUUUAGAACGUCGUGAGACAGUUCGGUCCCUAUCUGCCGUGGGCGCUGGAGAACUGAGGGGGGCUGCUCCUAGUACGAGAGGACCGGAGUGGACGCAUCACUGGUGUUCGGGUUGUCAUGCCAAUGGCACUGCCCGGUAGCUAAAUGCGGAAGAGAUAAGUGCUGAAAGCAUCUAAGCACGAAACUUGCCCCGAGAUGAGUUCUCCCUGACUCCU